RNAcentral lists this ribosomal RNA (471 nucleotides) under uncultured bacterium. RNAcentral's name for it is "bacterial SSU rRNA". It matches the Rfam family "Bacterial small subunit ribosomal RNA", at positions 335 to 799 of the family's 1533-position model. The record is from RNAcentral.
ACUCCUACGGGAGGCAGCAGUGGGGAAUAUUGGACAAUGGGCGCAAGCCUGAUCCAGCCAUGCCGCGUGUGUGAAGAAGGCCUUCGGGUUGUAAAGCACUUUCAGUGAGGAAGAAGGCCUUGAGGUUAAUACCCUCGAGGAAGGACAUCACUCGCAGAAGAAGCACCGGCUAACUCCGUGCCAGCAGCCGCGGUAAUACGGAGGGUGCGAGCGUUAAUCGGAAUUACUGGGCGUAAAGCGCGCGUAGGCGGCUUGAUAAGCCGGUUGUGAAAGCCCGCGUCAACCUGGGAACGGCAUCCGGAACUGUCAGGCUAGAGUGCAGGAGAGGAAGGUAGAAUUCCCGGUGUAGCGGUGAAAUGCGUAGAGAUCGGGAGGAAUACCAGUGGCGAAGGCGGCCUUCUGGACUGACACUGACGCUGAGGUGCGAAAGCGUGGGUAGCAAACAGGAUUAGAUACCCUGGUAGGACAGUG